CGCCGUGAAAUAAAUAAAAAACAAUAUAGUAAUAAAUGGUUGGGAGAAGACCAAAUAUCAGAAUAAGGUUCACGAUAAGAAUUGUCUUCAAGAAAUGGCUUUGAUUUUUCAAACGGACUUCAGCAGUUUGACGAGUAACUUCAGAGGUUAUGUUAUCUAUAGUCUGGCGUUGUCGUCGUAUUGAUAGGAACGCAAGAAAAUACAUUACAAUAGUUCCAAAGUAAAACGAUAUAUAAAUACAUGAUUGCACAAUGGUUUCAUAAAUUUGUUCCAGGUUGGAAUUUCGCAGAGCGAUGGAUAUUCCCGAAUAGCCGAAAUUAAUAAGCCACAGAGCAACCGUCCAAUAACCACAAAAGCGACGAGUUACGUAAACUUUGUGCCAUAAAGGUCGAGAAAUAGCGAGGUAUCUUU
Non-coding RNA from Paramuricea clavata, 411 nucleotides. NCBI's taxonomy places the organism in Eukaryota, Metazoa, Cnidaria, Anthozoa, Malacalcyonacea, Plexauridae. The record is from the annotation of a GenBank genome assembly.